GAUGAACGCUGGCGGCGUGCCUAAUACAUGCAAGUCGAGCGAACAGACGAGGAGCUUGCUCCUCUGACGUUAGCAGCGGACGGGUGAGUAACACGUGGAUAACCUACCUAUAAGACUGGGAUAACUUCGGGAAACCGGAGCUAAUACCGGAUAAUAUAUUGAACCGCAUGGUUCAAUAGUGAAAGACGGUUUUACUGUCACUUAUAGAUGGAUCCGCGCCGCAUUAGCUAGUUGGUAAGGUAACGGCUUACCAAGGCAACGAUGCGUAGCCGACCUGAGAGGGUGAUCGGCCACACUGGAACUGAGACACGGUCCAGACUCCUACGGGAGGCAGCAGUAGGGAAUCUUCCGCAAUGGGCGAAAGCCUGACGGAGCAACGCCGCGUGAGUGAUGAAGGUCUUCGGAUCGUAAAACUCUGUUAUUAGGGAAGAACAAAUGUGUAAGUAACUAUGCACGUCUUGACGGUACCUAAUCAGAAAGCCACGGCUAACUACGUG
Molecule: ribosomal RNA, 497 nt
Filed under: uncultured bacterium
Lineage: Bacteria
Description: partial 16S ribosomal RNA
Rfam family: Bacterial small subunit ribosomal RNA
Source: RNAcentral